AACCCCCAGCUAGGCUGGGGGUUCCGUAAAGCUUCCAGCUUUGGGGCGGAUAUAAAAACCCCUUUUGAUUUGUUAAAACACCUUGCGGUCUGGCAACUGCAAUGGUCAAACAAGAAAUCAAAAG
Molecule: small RNA, 124 nt
Organism: Dickeya dadantii 3937
Lineage: Bacteria; Pseudomonadati; Pseudomonadota; Gammaproteobacteria; Enterobacterales; Pectobacteriaceae
Rfam family: STnc490 Hfq binding RNA
Source: Rfam